This 414-nucleotide ribosomal RNA is filed under the name uncultured bacterium. Its description in RNAcentral is "bacterial SSU rRNA". It matches the Rfam family "Bacterial small subunit ribosomal RNA", at positions 355 to 761 of the family's 1533-position model. The record is from RNAcentral.
UGAGGAAUAUUGGACAAUGGGCGCAAGCCUGAUCCAGCCAUGCCGCGUGUGUGAAGAAGGUCUUCGGAUUGUAAAGCACUUUAAGUUGGGAGGAAGGGCAGUUACCUAAUACGUGAUUGUUUUGACGUUACCGACAGAAUAAGCACCGGCUAACUCUGUGCCAGCAGCCGCGGUAAUACAGAGGGUGCAAGCGUUAAUCGGAAUUACUGGGCGUAAAGCGCGCGUAGGUGGUUUGUUAAGUUGGAUGUGAAAUCCCCGGGCUCAACCUGGGAACUGCAUUCAAAACUGACUGACUAGAGUAUGGUAGAGGGUGGUGGAAUUUCCUGUGUAGCGGUGAAAUGCGUAGAUAUAGGAAGGAACACCAGUGGCGAAGGCGACCACCUGGACUGAUACUGACACUGAGGUGCGAAAGCG